RNAcentral lists this non-coding RNA (26 nucleotides) under Homo sapiens (human). The record is from RNAcentral. Lineage: Eukaryota; Metazoa; Chordata; Mammalia; Primates; Hominidae.
UUCCUGGCAUGGUUUCCUUCGUGACC